GUGGUCCAUACAUCUUCCCCAGUCCACCGGGCCGACUGUGGAGCUCUGCAGGGCGGAAACGCAGAGCGACAGCCUGGAAGGAGCCGGGGCUGCUGAGUCGCCCGGCAGGACGCUACCCUCCGAACACCCAGGUGAACUGUCAGUGAACAAGAGGGAAGCUUUUACUGACCUGAGGGGCUCACUCACACGGCUGCAACCGAGUCCGGCUGUCGGCAGGAAGCUUCCUCCCCCCACAGGACGGGAUCACUGCCCUCACAGCACCACGUCUUGCUUCCCCCAGAACAAGCAGGUCCAGAAACCGAGGAGAAGCAGCAUUUUUUGACCAGCACUGUAGCUGCCCCAUGGUGCCGCAGGGAACCCUACAGGAUCUGAGAAGCUUCACAGGGAUUUGCCAGUAGGAACGGAGGUGGGGCAGAUGCGAGAAGCUACAUGUCCCCUACCUCAGGUUUGUAAGGGAUGCUGGGACCUGCGUUCAUGUCC
Molecule: long non-coding RNA, 480 nt
Organism: Manis javanica (Malayan pangolin)
Lineage: Eukaryota; Metazoa; Chordata; Mammalia; Pholidota; Manidae
Source: RefSeq, a predicted model, not a curated record